GCUAACAGCGAGAUGUAGGC
RNAcentral lists this microRNA (20 nucleotides) under Heligmosomoides polygyrus. RNAcentral describes it as "hpo-miR-10155-5p". The record is from miRBase by way of RNAcentral. Lineage: Eukaryota; Metazoa; Nematoda; Chromadorea; Rhabditida; Heligmosomidae.